This 501-nucleotide ribosomal RNA is filed under the name uncultured bacterium. Its description in RNAcentral is "partial 16S ribosomal RNA". It matches the Rfam family "Bacterial small subunit ribosomal RNA", at positions 30 to 523 of the family's 1533-position model. The record is from RNAcentral.
AUUGAACGCUGGCGGCAGGCUUAACACAUGCAAGUCGAGCGGGGGAAGGUAGCUUGCUACUGGACCUAGCGGCGGACGGGUGAGUAAUGCUUAGGAAUCUGCCUAUUAGUGGGGGACAACAUCUCGAAAGGGAUGCUAAUACCGCAUACGUCCUACGGGAGAAAGCAGGGGAUCUUCGGACCUUGCGCUAAUAGAUGAGCCUAAGUCGGAUUAGCUGGUUGGUGGGGUAAGGGCCUACCACGGCGACGAUCUGUAGCGGGUCUGAGAGGAUGAUCGGCCACGCUGGGACUGAGAGACAGCCCGGACUCCUACGGGAGGCAGCAGUGGGGAAUAUUGGACAAUGGGGGGAACCCUGAUCCAGCCAUGCCGCGUGUGUGAAGAAGGCCUUAUGGUUGUAAAGCACUGUAAGCGAGGAGGAGGCUACUCUAGUUAAUACCUAGGGAUAGUGGACGUUACUCGCAGAAUAAGCACCGACUAACUCUGUGCCAGCCGCCGCCGUAA